This 97-nucleotide microRNA precursor is filed under the name Glycine max (soybean). Its description in RNAcentral is "miR6299 stem-loop (gma-MIR6299)". The record is from miRBase by way of RNAcentral. Lineage: Eukaryota; Viridiplantae; Streptophyta; Magnoliopsida; Fabales; Fabaceae.
AAAUAUUGACGUGACAAACCAUUAAUUUUAAAUUACUACUUUGUUUUUGAUGUGAUAAAAUAAUAAUUUAAAAUUAUUGAUUUGUCAUAUCAGUGUU